GACGAACGCUGGCGGCGUGCUUAACACAUGCAAGUCGAACGGAAAGGCCCUGCUUUUGUGGGGUGCUCGAGUGGCGAACGGGUGAGUAACACGUGAGUAACCUGCCCUUGACUUUGGGAUAACUUCAGGAAACUGGGGCUAAUACCGGAUAGGAGCUCCUGCUGCAUGGUGGGGGUUGGAAAGUUUCGGCGGUUGGGGAUGGACUCGCGGCUUAUCAGCUUGUUGGUGGGGUAGUGGCUUACCAAGGCUUUGACGGGUAGCCGGCCUGAGAGGGUGACCGGCGACAUUGGGACUACGAUACGGCCCAGACUCCUACGGGAGGCAGCAGUGGGGAAUAUUGCACAAUGGGCGGAAGCCUGAUGCAGCAACGCCGCGUGCGGGAUGACGGCCUUCGGGUUGUAAACCGCUUUCGCCUGUGACGAAGCGUGAGUGACGGUAAUGGGUAAAGAAGCACCGGCUAACUACGUG
RNAcentral lists this ribosomal RNA (468 nucleotides) under uncultured bacterium. RNAcentral describes it as "partial 16S ribosomal RNA". It matches the Rfam family "Bacterial small subunit ribosomal RNA", at positions 28 to 507 of the family's 1533-position model. The record is from RNAcentral.